This is a long non-coding RNA of Melospiza melodia melodia, 2509 nucleotides long. RefSeq lists it as uncharacterized. Lineage: Eukaryota; Metazoa; Chordata; Aves; Passeriformes; Passerellidae. The transcript has 3 exons. The record is from RefSeq and is a predicted model, not a curated record.
CCUAAGCAGAAGUAUUGGCUUGGGUCCCUGAAAGGAGUUCUUUCUUACUGCUGCUGCUCCAGAAAAGGAACAGACCACUUGUGCUGAAAGUUGUCUCCUCCUGCUGCCUGUGCUUGCCCAGCAUGAUUGAUGGCACAUUUAUCUCCUGAAGCCAAGGGCCCUGCCACUUCUUCUGUGGGAUCUGAGGUGGUGAAAGUGCUUUGUUAUCUGACUACCAAAAAGCCCCAAGCCAGCCAACCAAGGGGUCUAAACUAGCUCAAGAAGAAGUUAAACCAGGCUGCUGAGGAGAGCUGCUCCUCCUCCAAAGGAUUUGCGUCUUUCUCUAUAGAUCACAAAAAUAUAUAAUGGAUCAAGCAGAUCACCACAACUAUAAAGGAAACAGGUGCUGCAUGGACUUAGAAUCACAGAACCAUAGAAUAAGCUGAGCUGGAAAUGGCCCAUCAGGAUCAUCAAAUCCAACUCCUGGCCCUGCACAAGACACCCCAAGAGUCACACCAUGUCCCUGAGAGUGUUGUCCAAAUGUUUCUUUAAUUCUGUCAGGCUGGUGCUGUGACCACUUCCCUGCUCCAGUGCCCAUUAAUCCAUGCAUUCCCAAGGAAUUGUAAAUCACAGGCUGAAAGUUGAUUAUCUCUCCCUCUGUGGAAACCUUGCAUAAGCCAAGAACACCUCCCCUGCACAAUCCCUCAUGGUUUCCUUAAACAAUUUCUAUCCUCUGUGAUCAAGCUGCCUUUGCACAAAAGGUGAUCCACCUCAGCCACAGCACUGCCUGUUACUAUCCAUGUAAUUCUCAUUUCUCCAUUGCCACAGCUUUUGCCAGGUUUCUACAAAAUUAAGUACUUCAACUUACCAGACUGCAGAAGCUGUUGCCUUUACUCUUCAAAUUUCCAUUCUCUGUGUUCACCAAACAGAUCUUCCUAUUGUGACCCUUUCUGCCAUUUUAACUGCAUUAAUGAGUUCCUGAGAGAUAACAGACAUCCUAUCUACUGCUAGUUAUCACCUUGAACCAAUUGCUUGGCCUGUGUUGUUUGUUACUGAUCUUACCACACCUGAGAAGUUUUUGGGAGCCAAGCUUACCUGCCUCCACUGAUUCCAGCAGUGCUUUGUGAAACACAAAGUGCUUUACCAAGGCAGACCUAACAGCUCACAGCUGUUUGAAAAGGACCUAAUUUCCCUGAUCAGCCAUCUCUGGUGACUUGUGCAGCUUAGCAGUUCACUUUUCUUAGGCACUAACAACAGAAUUGACUUUUCUUUCUUUUCUUUCUUCUCUUUCUUCUCUUUCUUCUCUUUCUUCUCUUUCUUCUCUUUCUUCUCUUUCUUCUCUUUCUUCUCUUUCUUCUCUUUCUUCUCUUUCUUCUCUUUCUUCUCUCUCUCUCUCUCUCUCUCUCUCUCUCUCUCUCUGUCUCUUUCUCUCUCUCUGUCUCUCUAUUUCCCUCUUUUCCUAUUACAUAGCCCAUGUACCUCCCUGAACAGACCAGCUCCUCUUCCCCUGGAUCAUUCUGUUCAGAGCCAUCCACUCUUUGGAACUUUUGUUUUCACUGAUUUCUGGAUGGCACUCAACUUUCUCUCCUACAAUGCAAUCCUCCUCAUCAUCAUCAUUCUGCUUGCAGACUUCUAUAUUUUGAAUAUUAUCUUGUCUUAGAGUGUCAUUUCCUGAGCUCACCAGAUUUUCAGCAUUGGUGUUCUGGUGUUCAAAGCCUUGUGGUGCUUCCUUAUUAGUCCCUACUGCUUUGAGUACCUCUCUCACCUUGAAAAAUCUGAAGACAAUUCUGCAAUUUCAAAGUUCCUCAAAAAUAAGUUUAUUUCCACUUUAUCUGUUUGCUUGCAUUUUCUGCAAAGUUUGGGGGGUUUUCCCACUCAUAGUGUGCACACCCUCUACUAUCAUGGGUGCCCUAAUCUCUUUCAUGGCAUAUUCAAGACAGAACUUUUUAAGGACCUCUAGAUAUUCCUCUGCAUUUCGUUCUGGCCUUGUGCCGAAAGCUUGUGGCUCACCAUCUUCUCACAGUCCAGUUUUGUCAUAGGUAUCUCUGGCAUGUUCUGCCAAUGCCUCGAUUUCCCCUCACUGCUUGUGUUGCCUUGGGAUCAGCUGGAACCCUUAUCAAUGACAUAAACAAGAGUUGAGAGAGUCUUAGGGAAGAAUCACUCAUGAUACUGUCAAUAUCAGAUGGAUUUUUUAGGUCAAUUUUCUAUUUAGUUUGAGCAUAAUAAUGCACAGGCAGAUGAGGCAGUAGAAGCUUUUGAAGAGAAACAAUCAUUCAUGUACUGUGUUUCGGUUUUGGCUGCAGUUACCCUUGCAAGCACCUGGACAGUUCAAACAGCAAACAAACAUUUCUUUCAAACUGCUUUCUAGACCCUUUGCAGCACAGGUGAUAUGGAUGUAUUUCAUAUAGAUGAGGCACACAACAGACACAGAACAGCUAAACUCUGAGCUCCUCUAGCACCUUCACAAGUUCUUUCAAAACACAAUCUGUAUGUGACAGAGUCAGGGGGUUUACCAGCUCCAAACUUCAUU